RNAcentral lists this ribosomal RNA (790 nucleotides) under Nocardioides salarius. Its description in RNAcentral is "bacterial SSU rRNA". It matches the Rfam family "Bacterial small subunit ribosomal RNA", at positions 97 to 899 of the family's 1533-position model. The record is from RNAcentral. Lineage: Bacteria; Bacillati; Actinomycetota; Actinomycetes; Propionibacteriales; Nocardioidaceae.
GGCGAACGGGUGAGUAACACGUGAGUAAUCUGCCCUCCACUUCGGGAUAAGCCUCGGAAACGGGGUCUAAUACCGGAUAUGACCACUUCAUGCAUGUGAUGGUGGUGGAAAGUUUUUCGGUGGGGGAUGUGCUCGCGGCCUAUCAGCUUGUUGGUGGGGUAAUGGCCUACCAAGGCUUCGACGGGUAGCCGGCCUGAGAGGGUGACCGGCCACACUGGGACUGAGACACGGCCCAGACUCCUACGGGAGGCAGCAGUGGGGAAUAUUGGACAAUGGGCGGAAGCCUGAUCCAGCAACGCCGCGUGAGGGAUGACGGCCUUCGGGUUGUAAACCUCUUUCAGUGGGGACGAAGCGCAAGUGACGGUACCUACAGAAGAAGCACCGGCCAACUACGUGCCAGCAGCCGCGGUAAUACGUAGGGUGCGAGCGUUGUCCGGAAUUAUUGGGCGUAAAGGGCUCGUAGGCGGUUUGUCGCGUCGGGAGUGAAAACACUGGGCUUAACUCAGUGCUUGCUUCCGAUACGGGCAGACUAGAGGUAUUCAGGGGAGAACGGAAUUCCUGGUGUAGCGGUGAAAUGCGCAGAUAUCAGGAGGAACACCGGUGGCGAAGGCGGUUCUCUGGGAAUUACCUGACGCUGAGGAGCGAAAGUGUGGGGAGCGAACAGGAUUAGAUACCCUGGUAGUCCACACCGUAAACGUUGGGCGCUAGGUGUGGGGUCCAUUCCACGGAUUCCGUGCCGCAGCUAACGCAUUAAGCGCCCCGCCUGGGGAGUACGGCCGCAAGGCUAAAA